This 460-nucleotide ribosomal RNA is filed under the name uncultured bacterium. RNAcentral's name for it is "partial 16S ribosomal RNA". It matches the Rfam family "Bacterial small subunit ribosomal RNA", at positions 338 to 795 of the family's 1533-position model. The record is from RNAcentral.
CCUACGGGAGGCAGCAGUGAGGAAUCUUGGUCAAUGGACGAGAGUCUGAACCAGCCAAGUAGCGUGAAGGAUGACUGCCCUAUGGGUUGUAAACUUCUUUUAUAUGGGAAUAAAACGUGGCACGUGUGCCUUUUUGUAUGUACUUUAUGAAUAAGGAUCGGCUAACUCCGUGCCAGCAGCCGCGGUAAUACGGAGGAUCCGAGCGUUAUCCGGAUUUAUUGGGUUUAAAGGGAGCGUAGAUGGGUUGUUAAGUCAGUUGUGAAAGUUUGCGGCUCAACCGUAAAAUUGCAGUUGAUACUGGCAGUCUUGAGUACAGUUGAGGUAGGCGGAAUUCGUGGUGUAGCGGUGAAAUGCUUAGAUAUCACGAAGAACCCCGAUUGCGAAGGCAGCUUACUAAACUGCGACUGACACUGAUGCUCGAAAGUGUGGGUAUCAAACAGGAUUAGAUACCCGAGUAGUC